GGAUAUGAGGUGACCUGGAUUUGACAUCUGCAAUCCCACUGGUCUGUAUUGACUGAAAUCCUUGGCUGGCUUCACAGGUGUGCCCCUGUCCUCUCACAGCUCCAACUGUGUCCUCUCAGAACUGUACACUGGUCUAAGAAUGCUCACUUCCUGGAGAGAAGGGUUAAUUAGACCCCCUUUCCAAGUUUUACUGGCAUGUUUUUAUUAUCCUUUGAGUCUAUUUUUUAUA
RNAcentral lists this small RNA (229 nucleotides) under Pteropus vampyrus (large flying fox). RNAcentral's name for it is "7SK RNA (ENSPVAG00000029717.1)". The stretch from base 1 to 174 matches the Rfam family "7SK RNA". Rfam says of the family: 7SK was discovered as an abundant small nuclear RNA in the mid-70s but a possible function has only recently been suggested. Two independent studies have found that 7SK RNA binds the CDK9/cyclin T complex (known as elongation factor P-TEFb). Lineage: Eukaryota; Metazoa; Chordata; Mammalia; Chiroptera; Pteropodidae. The record is from RNAcentral.